RNAcentral lists this long non-coding RNA (356 nucleotides) under Brachypodium distachyon (stiff brome). Its description in RNAcentral is "long non-coding RNA (BDIS_LNC005768)". Lineage: Eukaryota; Viridiplantae; Streptophyta; Magnoliopsida; Poales; Poaceae. The record is from RNAcentral.
UACUUGUCAAGAUUUAGUACAAAACAAGUAAUUCCGUCCGUAGGGGGUGCUUUUUUUUUCUUCCAAUUUUGGGUGUCACGGCUCUAUCAAUGUUGCAUACUUUUGGGUGAACAUGAGUAUUUCAAUAACAGAUCGACAACUGGCGUGCGCAUGCCCCUACUAGCUAGAAAUAUGGAACAUAGUACAAUACCCCGCUUUUUAUAGGGCAUCGUGUUUUUUUUCCGAAUCGGACCUCUCCCCACUUUCCAUUUCAAUCAAAACGGAAAUAACAAGGUCUCGAGCAAUUACACAUCAAGAGCAGGAAUGAAAGAAAAGCAGGAAGAGACGGAUUCAGGCACCAACAGGAAAUCCACUGC